UACGAAGGGGGCUAGCGUUGCUCGGAAUCACUGGGCGUAAAGGGUGCGUAGGCGGGUUUUUAAGUCAGGGGUGAAAUCCUGGAGCUCAACUCCAGAACUGCCUUUGAUACUGAAGAUCUUGAGUCCGGGAGAGGUGAGUGGAACUGCGAGUGUAGAGGUGAAAUUCGUAGAUAUUCGCAAGAACACCAGUGGCGAAGGCGGCUCACUGGCCCGGUACUGACGCUCAGGCGCGACAGCGUGGGGAUCAAACAGG
RNAcentral lists this ribosomal RNA (253 nucleotides) under uncultured bacterium. Its description in RNAcentral is "partial 16S ribosomal RNA". It matches the Rfam family "Bacterial small subunit ribosomal RNA", at positions 524 to 776 of the family's 1533-position model. The record is from RNAcentral.